Molecule: ribosomal RNA, 252 nt
Filed under: uncultured Bacteroidales bacterium
Lineage: Bacteria; Pseudomonadati; Bacteroidota; Bacteroidia; Bacteroidales
Description: partial 16S ribosomal RNA
Rfam family: Bacterial small subunit ribosomal RNA
Source: RNAcentral
UACGGAGGAUGCGAGCGUUAUCCGGAUUUAUUGGGUUUAAAGGGUGCGUAGGCGGAUCGUUAAGUCAGUGGUCAAAUUGAGGGGCUCAACCCCUUCCCGCCAUUGAAACUGGCGUUCUUGAGUGGAAGAGAAGUAUGCGGAAUGCGUGGUGUAGCGGUGAAAUGCAUAGAUAUCACGCAGAACACCGAUUGCGAAGGCAGCUUACCAAGCUACUUCUGACGUUGAGGCACGAAAGCGUGGGGAGCAAACAGG